CCUACGAGUGGCUGCAGUGGGGAAUAUUGGACAAUGGGGGGAACCCUGAUCCAGCCAUGCCGCGUGUGUGAAGAAGGCCCUCGGGUUGUAAAGCACUUUCAGUGAGGAAGAACGCCUGGUGGUUAAUACCCAUCAGGAAAGACAUCACUCACAGAAGAAGCACCGGCUAACUCCGUGCCAGCAGCCGCGGUAAUACGGAGGGUGCGAGCGUUAAUCGGAAUUACUGGGCGUAAAGCGCGCGUAGGUGGCUUGAUAAGCCGGUUGUGAAAGCCCCGGGCUCAACCUGGGAACGGCAUCCGGAACUGUCAAGCUAGAGUGCAGGAGAGGAAGGUAGAAGUCCCGGUGUAGCGGUGAAAUGCGUAGAGAUCGGGAGGAAUACCAGUGGCGAAGGCGGCCUUCUGGACUGACACUGACACUGAGGUGCGAAAGCGUGGGUAGCAAACAGGAUUAGAUACCCUAGUAGUC
RNAcentral lists this ribosomal RNA (465 nucleotides) under Vreelandella stevensii. RNAcentral describes it as "partial 16S ribosomal RNA". It matches the Rfam family "Bacterial small subunit ribosomal RNA", at positions 338 to 795 of the family's 1533-position model. The record is from RNAcentral. Lineage: Bacteria; Pseudomonadati; Pseudomonadota; Gammaproteobacteria; Oceanospirillales; Halomonadaceae.